This 372-nucleotide transfer-messenger RNA is filed under the name Streptosporangiaceae. Its description in RNAcentral is "WHSR01 sp009379995 Standard tmRNA". It matches the Rfam family "transfer-messenger RNA". From Rfam's summary of the family: Bacterial tmRNA, also known as 10Sa RNA or SsrA, is named for its dual tRNA and mRNA-like properties. Its role is to liberate the mRNA from a stalled ribosome. Lineage: Bacteria; Bacillati; Actinomycetota; Actinomycetes; Streptosporangiales. The record is from RNAcentral. RNAcentral also lists the same sequence under 1 other name.
GGGGGUGACUGGCUUCGACUUCGGUAGUUAGGCCAGGAGAAGCGGGCCGAGGGUUGUGGUUGCGACCUCGUAAAUCCCGUGACCGCAAAAAAACAAGCGCCAAGACACAGCGCUCUCUCGCCCUCGCGGCCUGACCGCGAGUAACGCGGGUGUCAGCCCGGGGCCGCCUCCGCUCCGGUGACUGGCAUCGUUAAGGAGGCUCACCUGCCGGCCCGGCCGCGGGGCUAGGCAGGGACAGCACACAGCGGCUGGGCUUGUCGACGGCUUGCCUGCGUGACCGUCGGGGCCGAGCAAAACGACUAGCAGGCUGCGCCCGGAGAAGGCCUGGGUUGGUGCCGAAGGACGCGGGUUCGAUUCCCGCCACCUCCACCU